UACGGAGGGUGCAAGCGUUAUCCGGAUUUACUGGGUUUAAAGGGUGUGUAGGCGGGUCUUUAAGGCAGUGGUGAAAUCUCCGAGCUCAACUUGGAAACUGCCAUUGAUACUAUUGAUCUUGAAUUCUGUUGAGGUGGGCGGAAUAAGUCAUGUAGCGGUGAAAUGCAUAGAUAUGACUUAGAACACCAAUUGCGAAGGCAGCUCAUUAAGCAGAUAUUGACGCUGAGGCACGAAAGCGUGGGGAUCAAACAGG
This 253-nucleotide ribosomal RNA is filed under the name uncultured bacterium. RNAcentral's name for it is "partial 16S ribosomal RNA". It matches the Rfam family "Bacterial small subunit ribosomal RNA", at positions 524 to 776 of the family's 1533-position model. The record is from RNAcentral.